RNAcentral lists this long non-coding RNA (1913 nucleotides) under Lactuca sativa (garden lettuce). RNAcentral describes it as "long non-coding RNA (LSAT_LNC001354)". The record is from RNAcentral. Lineage: Eukaryota; Viridiplantae; Streptophyta; Magnoliopsida; Asterales; Asteraceae.
UAUAGUUAUGGACUUAGACAUUAAUCCAACAGUCUCCCACUUGGAUAAGUCUAAAACUAUUAUUGCGUAUGACUUCAGGAACCAACUGGCAAUCGUAGCUCUCAAAAGCUUCUGUCGAACUCUGACCUUGUAGAUGAACUCUGACCUUUGUCAAUGACUUGUCCAUUAGAUAAGGGAUCAUAUAUUCCUCCAUUCUAGAUAUCAUAUGGACUGAGACAUGGAUUAUAAUCAUUCUCUCUGUCCAUUUGUUGUUUCCCGAUUUCCGAUUUAUGACGACUGACUAAUUGAACAAAUCAAAUCAGUCCUGGCCCGGCCGAGCACUUCCAUUUGUCAUCAUCAAAUCAUCGAGGGGCCCACAUAUAUCGCUUUUAUCCCGAAGGUAAAAGGAAUGGAUAAACUUCGACUCAUAUGGCUUGUUCUACUACUUGUUGAAUCAUACACAAAGGCACGUUUUAUAACACUGAGUUACCGAAUGCGUUUUCGUGCAAUCAAUGUACAACCAACUCAUAGUAACAACUCAUAUCUCUAGGUUUGAAGAAUAUAUGAUAUUAUCGUCUCAUGAUCACUCGUGAUAAAAUCCAUGAAGUGAUUCCAAUGAGCGCGUGUUGAAUCCAAUACUCAGAACUUAUGAGCACUCAUGGGUGUUGUAGCCAUUUGUCCAACACCUUAGACCUCUACAAGCUAACCCAUGAUAGUCUUAAUUCAUAUCUACUUUCAACAUAUGAUCGACUGUGGAUGGUUCGAAUAACUUAGUCAUUCCGGAAGAAUAACCUAGUUUAUUCUGGAAGUCAAAACAUGCAAAAUGAAACACAAUAAUAAUCGAAUCCAAUAUGGUCUCAGAACUUAUGAAUAUAAAUAAAACACCUUUUAUUUAUCACCAUAUGAUUACACAAUAUCCAUUGUAUACUGUUUCAGCUAUCAACAUUAUUCUUGAAUUUAAAAGAAUAGUUGUCCCAUGCUCCAAGCAUGUACACUAUGUUUUCUAAACACUAGUCAUGCCAUACACCAACUAUGCAUACUAUGUUUGUCUAUGAUCUUUACUUUCUGAAAUAGAUUAACUGAACAUAACUCCAAUGAUCCGUUUUCACAAUCCCAAAUCCUUACUGCAAAUGCAUGAAUUCCAAACUCAUGCUAUUUACUGAAAUCUGGUAGAUUCUAAACUUAUAUGCAUUGAUCUUCUUGUAAUGAUUAUGCACAACUUCACAAAGACUUGGCACCAAUCAUUACAGAGUAUUCCAAAGGGGAUCAGCUCCUUGGAAACAAUGCGCUUUCGUGCAAUCAAUGUACUACCAACUCAUAGUAAGAACUCAUAUCUCUAGGUUUGAAGAAUAUAAGAUAUUAUCGUCUCAUGAUCACUCGUGAUAAAAUCCAUGAAGUGAUUCCAAUGAGCGCGGGUUGAAUCCAAUACUCAAAACUUAUGAGCACUCAUGAGUGUUGUAGCCCUUUGUCCAACACCUUAGACCUCUACAAGCCAACCCAUGACAGUCUUAAUUCAUAUCUACUUCCAACAUAUGACCGACUGUGGAUGGUUUGAAUAACUUAGUCAUUCCGGAAGAAUAACCUAGUUUAUUCGGGAAGUCAAAACAUGCAAAAUGAAACACAAUAAUAAUCGAAUCCAAUAUGGUAUCAAAACCUAUGAACAUAAAUAAAACACCUUUUAUUUAUCACCAUAUGAUUACACAUUAUUCAUUGUAUACUGUUUCAGCUAUCAACUUUAUUCUUGAAUUUAAAACAAUAGUUGUCCCAUGCUCCAAGCAUGUACACUAUGUUUUCUAAACACUAGUCAUGCCAUACACCAAGUAUGCAUACUAUGUUUGUCUAUGAUCUUUACUUUGUGAACUAGAUCAAUUGAACAUAACUUCAAUGAUUCUCUUUUCACACUCCCAAAUCCUUACUGCAAAUGCAAGAAUUCC